GCACACACUAGCUUUGCUUGCCAUGAGACAUGGCUAUUCAUAGGCGUGUAGAGCUUCGUCUCUAACUUUUCUAAAAUUGCAGGUAUGUCUUCUACUUUUCACAUUCCAAAAGAUAAAAUGAAAUUUGCUGUAAUAAUUAAUGGUGAAAGAGACAUUCUAUUCUGACCUAUAAGUUGUAUUUGCGCUGACAUUAGAAUAUGUGACGAAGAUAUCAUGUUAACUCAAAUUUACCACUCUUUGGUUAGACAUUGAAAGUGCAAUUUCUCAGUGAAUUAGUAGAAAAGGAGAUUUUUUUUCUUUAUACUUAAACAUCCAAAUGCCACAUCCACUGAAA
RNAcentral lists this unclassified non-coding RNA (334 nucleotides) under Hevea brasiliensis (rubber tree). Lineage: Eukaryota; Viridiplantae; Streptophyta; Magnoliopsida; Malpighiales; Euphorbiaceae. The record is from RNAcentral.